Non-coding RNA from Pelobates cultripes (western spadefoot toad), 375 nucleotides. NCBI's taxonomy places the organism in Eukaryota, Metazoa, Chordata, Amphibia, Anura, Pelobatidae. The record is from the annotation of a GenBank genome assembly.
CUGCGAUGUUUGUACAUAUUAAUUUGAACUACGUACACAAAUUUUUUUUUAUGUGUAUGAUAUAUAGUGAAAAUAGUUACAGUGUCUAUUAUACAUACAGACAUAUAUGUGAUACAUAGAUAAUAACAUUUUAGGUACAAGGGGGCUUAAUCAAAAGCAGAUAGAUAGAUGAGUGGACAUAUAUCAACUGUCCCGAAAUAUUUUCAAUUUAAUAGUAUAUACAUUUCUAUAUAAAUAGUCCCAAAGUGACUAUGUUAGAAAGAAGAAGAGCCCUGUGACUAUGCCCUACGCCUCUUGCCCUGUGACUAUGGCCCCUGGGAUGUAUUGCCCUUUAAAGACAUGAUUUGGGCAUAAUGGAUUUGUGUUGUGCUGCUG